GGCGAGCGGCAAACGGGUGANUAAUGNCUGGGGAUCUACCCCAUGGAGGGGGAUAACUANUGGAAACNAUAGCUAAUACCNCAUAAUGNCAUAAGANCAAAGUGGGGCAUUANCCUCACACCAUUGGAUGAACCCANAUGGGAUUAGCUAGUANGUGAGGUAAUGGCUUACCUANGCGACGAUCCCUANCUGGUCUGAGAGGAUGACCAGCCACAUUGGAACUGANACACGGUCCAGACUCCUACNNNAGGCAGCAGUGGGGAAUAUUGCACAAUGGGGGAAACCCUGAUGCAGCCAUGCCGCGUGUGUGAAGAAGGCCUUCNGNUUGUAAAGCACUUUCANCNGGGAGGAAGGCGUUAAUGUUAAUAACAUUAACNAUUGACAUUACCUGCAAAAGAAGCACCGGCUAACUCUGUGCCAGCAGCCGCGGUAAUACCGAGGGKGCGAGCGUUAAUCGGAAUUACKGGGCGUAAAGUGUACGCAGGCGGUUUGUUAAGUCAGAUGUGAAAUCCCCGGGCUUAACCUGGGAACUGCAUUUGAAACUAGCAGGCUAGAGUCUCAUAGAGGGGGGUAGAAUUCCAGGUGUAGCGGUGAAAUGCGUACAGAUCUGGAGGAAUACCAGUGGCGAAAGCGACCCCCUGGAGGAAGACUGACGCUCAGGUACCAAAGCGUGGGGAGCAAACAGGAUUAGAUACCCUGGUAGUCCACGCCGUAAACGAUGUCGAUUUAAAGGUUGUAGCCUUGAGGUAUAGCUUUUGAAGCUAACGCGUUAAAUCGACCGCGUGGGGAAUACGGCCGCAGGGUUAAAACUCAAAUGAAUUGGCGGGGGCCCGCACAAGCGGUGGGACAUGUGGUUUAAUUCGAUGCAACAAGAAGANCCUUACCUACUCUUGACAUCCAGAGUACUAUGGANAGANNCAUAGGUGCNUUUGGGNANUCUGAGACAGGUGCUGCAUGGCUGUCGUCAGCUCGUGUUGUGAAAUGUUGGGUUAAGUCCCGCAACGAGCGCAACCCUUAUCCUUUGUUACCANCGAUUUNGUCGGGAACUUAAAGGAAACUGCCGGUGAUAAACUGGAGGAAGGUGGGGACGACGUCAAGUCAUCAUGGCCCUUANGAGNAGGGCUACACACGUGCUACAAUGGCGCAUACAAAGAGNAGCAAUCUCGCGAGAGUUAGCNAACCUCAUAAAGUGCGUCNUAGUCCGGAUNGGAGUCUGCAACUCGACUCCAUGAAGUNGGAAUCGCUAGUAAUCGUGGAUCAGAANGCCACGGUGAAUACGUUCCCGGGCCUUGUACACACCGCCCGUCACNCCAUGGGAGUGGAUGCAAAAGAAGCAAGUAGCUNAACCUUAGGAU
RNAcentral lists this ribosomal RNA (1355 nucleotides) under uncultured Enterobacteriaceae bacterium. Its description in RNAcentral is "partial 16S ribosomal RNA". It matches the Rfam family "Bacterial small subunit ribosomal RNA", at positions 90 to 1448 of the family's 1533-position model. The record is from RNAcentral. Lineage: Bacteria; Pseudomonadati; Pseudomonadota; Gammaproteobacteria; Enterobacterales; Enterobacteriaceae.